This 609-nucleotide long non-coding RNA is filed under the name Homo sapiens (human). RNAcentral's name for it is "HSALNT0016355". The record is from RNAcentral. Lineage: Eukaryota; Metazoa; Chordata; Mammalia; Primates; Hominidae.
CUGAAAGUGAGGAGGAUGUUAUAAGAUGAGACAGUGAGGCAUUCAUGCUGUGAAGGUUUAGCCAACAAAGAACAAAGGGAUCCAGGGAAGGGGCCUGAAUGCCCCAGGAGGCAGAGUCAUGAAGAAGAAGUUCUACAGAGGGAGCCAGUGAGCAGCCUUGACCUCCUGAGGCCUCACAGACUCACUGCAAGAGCGGCUUCUAGGCAGUGAAGCUAAGCUGCGUCCUGGAGGGGGCGCCACAGUCCAUCAUAUGCUCUGGGAACAAAAUGGGGUUAUGAUCGUGUGUGAGCCUGAACGAACAGCCCAGAGACUUGCUGGGGUCAGACUUAGUAUAUCAACUGCCUGAGAUGCUCAGGGACCCUUCUCUAGCAACGGUUCAUGGCGGGCACCUUGGCUGGUCUGUCUUUCCAAUUAUCGGAUUCAGCUUCAGCAAGAGUCCUAAGGACUUUCUGAAUUUUCAGCCCAUAUGACAUGGAAGAAGAGUUAGAAGGGGAAUCUGACUGCUUGGAUCAGGGACUGUCUGGCUGGUGGAACUUGAAUGUGCUGUUGUCCUCUUUCUGGACCUUAGAGAUGUACAGUGCGCCACUCUGAGGAUCAAGUCUGACCCUG